CCACGGCUGCCGCAGGAGCCCGAGAUUCUGUCUGGGCCUCAGAACCUGACGCUCACAGUGCACCAAACGGUAGUGCUGGAAUGCAUCGCCACGGCCCACUCACGGCCACUGGUCUCCUGGAGCCACCUGGAUGGCCGCUCCGUCGGCGUAGAGGGCAUCCAAGUCCUGGGCACCGGGAACCUCAUGAUCUCCAAUGUGUCGGUCCAGCACUCGGGCAUCUACGUCUGUGCGGCCAAUCGGCUGGGAACCCGGGUCCGACGCACAGCACAGGGCGUCCUGCUCGUGCAGGCACACUGAUGCUGGUGGGGAUCUCAGCGGAGGACGAGGCCAUCUACCAAUGCGUGGCAGAGGACAGCGCGGGCUCCAACCAGGCCAGUGCCCGCCUGGCUGUGACAGGGGACCCAGAGCCACCCCCUGCCCCCAGGUGUCUGCAGGCAACGGCUCUCUCCACCUCUG
This is a long non-coding RNA of Balaenoptera musculus (blue whale), 456 nucleotides long. RefSeq lists it as uncharacterized. The record is from RefSeq and is a predicted model, not a curated record. The transcript is spliced from 3 exons. NCBI's taxonomy places the organism in Eukaryota, Metazoa, Chordata, Mammalia, Artiodactyla, Balaenopteridae.